GUGGGGAAUUUUGGACAAUGGGCGAAAGCCUGAUCCAGCCAUGCCGCGUGCAGGAUGAAGGCCUUCGGGUUGUAAACUGCUUUUGUACGGAACGAAACGGUCCGGGUUAAUACCCUGGGCUAAUGACGGUACCGUAAGAAUAAGCACCGGCUAACUACGUGCCAGCAGCCGCGGUAAUACGUAGGGUGCAAGCGUUAAUCGGAAUUACUGGGCGUAAAGCGUGCGCAGGCGGUUUUGUAAGACAGGCGUGAAAUCCCCGGGCUCAACCUGGGAAUUGCGCUUGUGACUGCAAGGCUGGAGUGCGGCAGAGGGGGAUGGAAUUCCGCGUGUAGCAGUGAAAUGCGUAGAUAUGCGGAGGAACACCGAUGGCGAAGGCAAUCCCCUGGGCCUGCACUGACGCUCAUGCACGAAAGCGUGGGGAGCAAACAGGAUUAGAUACCCGUGUAGUCC
RNAcentral lists this ribosomal RNA (450 nucleotides) under uncultured bacterium. Its description in RNAcentral is "bacterial SSU rRNA". It matches the Rfam family "Bacterial small subunit ribosomal RNA", at positions 354 to 796 of the family's 1533-position model. The record is from RNAcentral.